CUAAUUCUUUUUUCUCGCCCAAAGUCCCAAACUGGAAAUUUCUCAACUCCGGAACCUCACCGUUCCCGCCGUUAUGAACAUUCCGAUGACCGAAUCUUCUUCUCGCCGUCAGCUUACAGAACAAAAACUUGAGGAGGGAGGAACCCCCAAAACGAAUUCGAAUAAAAACCCCCAAAAAGAUUCUAACUUUGAAAUCGGAGGACUCCCAAAACCUAUAAAGUUUCAGACUUUGAGUCUUCUUCGUGUAUCUGCAACUCAGAAACCGCGAUUUCUCGUUCUCUGUACUAUCAAUUUGGCUCUGUAAAAGGGAAGCAAGUGCAUACUGGACUCGGCCACAGCUUCAGUUUCAGUCAACCCUGUGUCUCUCUUUUGCUUUGAUGAAGCAAAUUUGAAGGCUGCUGUCGCUGUUCAAGCAGGUGUUUGCGUAGACAUCUUUGCUGUUACAAAUGAGUAUACAGAUUUGGCGUCUCUGAAGUUUCUUAGCGUAGAAAGUGGAGGCUCAUUGUACUUUUAUUCAAAUACUGAUGAUUCAACACUUCCACAGGACAUGUACCGGAUGCUAAGUCGACCAUAUGCUUUUGGCUGUGUGCUGCGAUUGAGGACAUCAUCUGAAUUCAAAACUGGUCAUUCUUAUGGUUGUGGUAUACCCAUUCGGGUCGCCACAGUGGGGUGAGGCGCGCUCCCAGAUAGGCGGACCUCACAAUGGUCACUUCUUUCCAGAUCCACAGUAUGAGAAUGGUCAACACAUUAUCUGUUGUGAUUCUUCCGCCACAUAUGCUUAUGACUUUGAGUUUGAAGCUACCAAGGAAUUUGCAAAGUUCUCAUGGCAAAAAGAGCAAAGCAAAUGAAAGCAAGUGCAAAGCUCACAAAAUGACAAAGUAAAAUGGUGCACUUGUGAUUGUUGUUUUAUUUCAAGUGUGGUUAUAAUUUUCAAUACUUGGAAAUGACAACACAUUUAUUUUCAUUUUAGUGUUUGUAUUUGAAUAUGGUACGAUGACUCAAUGGAUAUGUUUAACUAUAUUUUUCAUGAAUUAAUGUUAAUUUCUGCA
Rosa rugosa (rugosa rose) is the source of this 1049-nucleotide long non-coding RNA. RefSeq lists it as uncharacterized. The record is from RefSeq and is a predicted model, not a curated record. Lineage: Eukaryota; Viridiplantae; Streptophyta; Magnoliopsida; Rosales; Rosaceae. The transcript has 7 exons.